Molecule: ribosomal RNA, 429 nt
Filed under: Chloroflexota bacterium
Lineage: Bacteria; Bacillati; Chloroflexota
Description: Chloroflexi bacterium partial 16S ribosomal RNA
Rfam family: Bacterial small subunit ribosomal RNA
Source: RNAcentral
UAGGGAAUCUUCGGCAAUGGACGAAAGUCUGACCGAGCAACGCCGCGUGAGUGAAGAAGGUUUUCGGAUCGUAAAACUCUGUUGUUAGAGAAGAACAAGGACGUUAGUAACUGAACGUCCCCUGACGGUAUCUAACCAGAAAGCCACGGCUAACUACGUGCCAGCAGCCGCGGUAAUACGUAGGUGGCAAGCGUUGUCCGGAUUUAUUGGGCGUAAAGCGAGCGCAGGCGGUUUCUUAAGUCUGAUGUGAAAGCCCCCGGCUCAACCGGGGAGGGUCAUUGGAAACUGGGAGACUUGAGUGCAGAAGAGGAGAGUGGAAUUCCAUGUGUAGCGGUGAAAUGCGUAGAUAUAGGGAGGAACACCAGUGGCGAAGGCGGCUCUCUGGUCUGUAACUGACGCUCAGGUGCGAAAGCGUGGGGAGCAAACAGG